This 361-nucleotide ribosomal RNA is filed under the name Candidatus Regiella insecticola. Its description in RNAcentral is "bacterial SSU rRNA". It matches the Rfam family "Bacterial small subunit ribosomal RNA", at positions 223 to 573 of the family's 1533-position model. The record is from RNAcentral. Lineage: Bacteria; Pseudomonadati; Pseudomonadota; Gammaproteobacteria; Enterobacterales; Enterobacteriaceae.
AGAAAAGCUUGUAUCGGAUUAGUUAGUUGUUAAAGUAAAGGUUUAACAAGACUAUGAUCCGUAGUUGAUCUUAGAGGAUGAACAACCACAUUGGGACUGAGACACGGCCCAAACUUUUAAGGAAGGCAGCAGUGGGGAAUAUUGGACAAUGAGCGAUAGCUUGAUCCAGCUAUGUCGCGUGUGUGAAGAAGGCCUUAGGGUUGUAAAACACUUUCAACAAUGAAAGAAGGAAUUAAAAUUUAAUAAAUUUUUUUUUUUGACGAUAUUUGUAAAAGAAGCACCGGCUAACUUCGUGCCAGCAGCCGCGGUAAUACGAGGGGUGCAAGCGUUAAUCGAAAUUAUUGGGCGUAAAGGGUGUGUA